UUAGGAAUCUUCCACAAUGGGCGAAAGCCUGAUGGAGCGACGCCGCGUGAGGGAUGAAGGCCUUAGGGUUGUAAACCUCUAAAAGAGGGACGAUAAUGACGGUACCUCUUGAAUAGCACCGGCUAACUCCAUGCCAGCAGCCGCGGUAAUACGGAGGGUGCAAGCGUUAUCCGGAAUCACUGGGCGUAAAGGGCGCGUAGGCGGUCUGUUAAGUCCGAUGUUAAAUCCCGGGGCUCAACCCCGGAUCAGCGUUGGAUACUGGCAGGCUAGACGGUUGGGGAGGCGAGUGGAAUUACCAGUGUAGCGGUGAAAUGCGUAGAUACUGGUAGGAACACCCAUUGCGAAGGCAGCUCGCUGGACAACACGUGACGCUGAGGCGCGAAAGUGUGGGGAGCAAACC
RNAcentral lists this ribosomal RNA (400 nucleotides) under uncultured bacterium. RNAcentral describes it as "bacterial SSU rRNA". It matches the Rfam family "Bacterial small subunit ribosomal RNA", at positions 355 to 774 of the family's 1533-position model. The record is from RNAcentral.